GCUCACUUGACCACGUCAAACAAAACGCUCUGUGGCAUUGAUUUGAAGAUGUUAAGAUUUGAUUUAUAUUCCUGGAUAGAAAAAGAAUACCACGAACUCUUAAGAAAAGCCGAGAAGAUUUUUUCAAGGCUUGAAUGUUGGCCCAAUAUCUACUCCAUCUAUU
Long non-coding RNA from Carassius auratus (goldfish), 163 nucleotides. RefSeq lists it as uncharacterized. The transcript is spliced from 4 exons. The record is from RefSeq and is a predicted model, not a curated record. NCBI's taxonomy places the organism in Eukaryota, Metazoa, Chordata, Actinopteri, Cypriniformes, Cyprinidae.